AAUCAGGAGAAGCUGGCUCUCCUGCGGUUCCGCGCACAGAGGCGGGCAGCGCCGUAUCUCCACCAAUACUGUGCGCGGCAUUGCGAUUGCACCCGCCCAUCUGGACUGACAUAUCCCUGGGCCCAAUCGAAGGCUCGAGGACUUUCACAGCCGGUCAGGAUAGUUACCAAUAUCCGACCAAUAGGCGCGCUCCCCUCAAAUGGAGGCUACUUCAUCCUCCCUAAUCCACCUGAAAAAGCGAUGGGGUGAGAUAAUUGACGGACAGUCCCUGUUUCCAGUCGGAGCGCUGAGCGCAGUCUGGCCAGCCUAUGGGGCUCGGUUGCUAAAGAAGCGAGAAGGCGGGCUUCUCAGAUGCAGAAAGUACCGUGUGACAGACCUCCUGAAUGCUAGGAAGUUGAACUUGAAUAUAUACAGUGGAAACUGGAGUGGGAAGAACACAGCUGUGAGUAGAAACAAGAGCCACAUCCCUGUGUCUGUUCCUUCUGGCUGGGAGGCACACCGUCUUUCCCCACCGGGGGCAACAAGACCCUGGGACUAAAAGACUGUGAGAUACAGGCGGCUCUGAUAGAAGACCACAGCAGUCAUGGCAUGAACAUUGCUGAAGGCUCUUUCUCUCUUUUUUGAUUGAAAUCUAGUUAGUCUGCGGUGUCCAGGAAGAGGACUCUGGACUUGUGGUGGGCCCUCCACAGAGGAUACACAGGCCUGGAGAGCUGGGUCUGACAAGCGACCGCAGCCUGAGGGACAGGGCCAGGCCAAGUGUCACUAUCGGGAUUGUGGGGAUUUUUUCCCAACAAGACUGUGACAUUCCUCGGUCUCUUGGACCCCCGUUGUGGGGUGGGGAUGUUGACCUCCUGUGUCAUAAUAAAGAAUGCAGAGGCUGCCUAGGCAGGGCAGACGGCGCAGAAGAAAGGAGAGGAGGUUCCCCCUUGCAUAGGCAAUUUUAAGACUAAAUCCAGACUCCUUUCCCACAGUGGGCAUGGCCUGACCCAGGGUGAGGCUACUAUGUGGCCAUCCUGGGGCUGGGGUGGGGUGAACAGACAUAAUCCCUGACCUAUGUGGAAUCUCAUGAUGAGUCCUGGGUGUGUACUAUGUCGGGGGAACCUGGGGCAGACCAUUCACUAAGUGUCUGCCCAGCCCUGAGGGGAGGGACUGGUUGGGUCCACAGGCUAUCCUCUUCCAGAGAGCACCCCCAGUUCGCUCGUUCAUUCGUUCGUUCGUUCGUUCGUUCGUUCCUUCCUUCCUUCCUUCCAGCUUAAAUGGAGUAGACCUCAUUUAUAAAGCCUUAUUUAUCACUGCAGUUUUCUUUCUUUUUUGAAAAAAAGUGAAAGGCACGUAUUGCAUGGAGCACUGGGUGUGGUGCAUAAACAAUGAAUUUUAGAACACUGAAAAAAAUAAAAUUCAAAAAAAAGUGAUUUAUUUCAAUGAGAGAGAGAAUGGGGGGGGGGGAGCAGGAGAGAGAAACUUCAGCAGACUUCCCCCGCCCCCUGCCACCACGUGUGAAGCCCGACACAGGGAUCAGUCUCAGGACCCUGAGAUCAUGACCUGAGCCAAAAUCAAGAGUCGGAUGCUUAACCGACCGAGCCACUCAGGUGCCCCAUCACUGCAAUUUUAUUUCUAGUAAAUAUGCUAAAUUUGCUCAUAAUGUUUCGUAUUGAGAAGACUAAAAAUGCCUGCCAUCUCAUUCUCAAUCCCCUGAGCCUGUGAAUAUAUACAUGGCCUACAUGGUGAAUGGAGCUUUGCAGGUGAGAUUUGGGGAAGUGCCUGAGUUGAGGAGAUUGACCCUGGAUGACCCAGUGGGUCAGUUUAUGGCAGGAGUCCUUAAAAGCGGAGAACAUUUCCCACAUUGAAUCACAAAUAGUUAUGAAAAUAGAAUGAGUCAAAGAGAUUCUGCGUGGUUGGCUUUGAAUUUGAACACAGGAGGCCAAGGGUCACGGAAUGCUGUCAGCCUCUGAAAUGUCACCAAGUAAGGCACAGAUACUCCCACAGAGCCUUCAGAAGGGAAAACAGCUCUGCUGAUAGGUUGAUUAUAGUCUGGUUAUAUGUUGAUUAUAUGUCUGGUUCUGACAUACAGAAAUGCAAGAGAUCAAAUUUGCAUUAAGAUAUUAAAAAUGUGGCUAAGGCUGUAGUGGUAUGUUAUAUACAUAACGAGAGUGAACUAAUACAUAAUAAUAAGAAGAAAUUCACAAAAAUAAUCCUAAUAGUAACAUACACUGAGGGGCUAACAUGUACCAGACAUGGCUCUGUGUGUUACAGGUGCUUUAAGUUAUUUAGCAGUCUAUCCCAGUUGUUUUGGAAGAAAAAUUAUUCUCGUAUCACAUUAAAGAAUCUGAGGGACAGAGGGGAUGAAUGUCCUGUCCUGAGGAAAGAGAGAGCCAGGAAGGAGCAUAGCCUAGAUCUGGUCCCAGGGUCGUUUGAGGCCUGGCUCUAUUCUUGUUUCCACUGCUUGUGCGAGGGUGAUUAAACAGAAACUUGUUAUACGUCUCUCCUAUCUGUAUUUUGUCCACAUUAUAUUAGUACACUGCUGGGAUCAAUAUAUCAGUAUCGACAAAUACUGAUGUCGGAAAAUGGGUGAGAAAUGCAGCUUCAGGAUAACGCCGUGACACUUUCCCAUCCGCACCUCCCCCACACACCUCCUUGGCUGCUGUGGCUUGCUGGGGCGUCCCCUGGCAUCCAGCAGGUCCUAGAAAUACCAGGGCCCUUUUUCCCUACCCUACCAAAGUUCUUUACUUUCUUUUCCAUGCACUUUCUCCCUGUAGAUGAUCAACAGGCCCCGGGGACAAAUGAUAUCUUCAGAUUAGCUAAGUCCAUGCUUCUGUAUUCUAAGACCAGUGAGGUCGGCUUUCCAACAGAUUUGCUCACAGGGGUAUGUUGCCCUCUGCCAGGUUUCUUGUCAUCUCAUGGAACGGAGCCCUGCAUCUUGGACCCCACGCAUGCACCGAGUCACCCAGAAUGCCCCUCACUCCAGGCAGUCCACCCCCGAGUCACUCGCUGGUAGCUGUAUUCACAGAUCUGGCAGCCCUUGACUCUUUCUGUACCUGCUCUGGGGCUUCUGAGCCUCCGGGACUGACCACCUAUGACCUCUGAGCAGUGUGUGCUUGUCAGUGGACAUCUGGACACACUGUGCUGACCCUUUUGCAAGCAUCUGUUCCUGUGUGGUGAUCUGGAUAGUAAUGAAUUACAUUUGACCGAGUAUGACGGGAUUCCUUGCCGAGACGUCAACAAGGACCGGAAAGCAGGUUGUGAGAGCCGCUUCUCGCCUAGUCUCAGCAGCCUCUCUAGUUCCUGCAGCCAGGCCCUGGGGCUGGUUUUACUUCCUAUUUUCUGUUUCUUUUCCCUGUAUCUUACUCCCCUGACUGGAAAAAGGCUCCUUCUCUCUGCUCUUGGCCCAGUGCUGUAUGCUUACCCGCACCACAUCCCUCUGUUCUUAAUGGAGUAGGACUCAGGGAAGGAGGGGUGGGGGUUGGCUUUGCUGAGCUCACUCCACCCUCCAGCUUAUGAUGGCUCUUAGAUGACUUCAGUCAGCAUCAUAAUCCAAUGGUCCUGAGCACCCCAUCCUCUCUGGAGGCUUUCUGUGUUCCACACACGGAAAAGGCCAGCACUUGCAUCUCCUGGCAUCAGGCCUGAAUCUUUCUCCCAGUUCCUUCAUGUCAUGCCAUCUCACACACACCCUAAGGUCUACGACCAUGACACUCCAAAGGGCACUUAGUCAUAUGGCCCACAAACCACCAAGCAUUUCAAAUAUUAUCUGUGUGGGAGUUCACCAUGACUUUCUCUUGGUCUGAGCAUUGCAAUGAAUGAGAGGUGGCUUGUUGGAAUGUGUAAAUGGGCACACGACUCUUUAUCUGGAUUAUAUAUCAAUAAAUUCAAGGAAGUUCAAAUAUUAAUAAGCUACAAAGAAUGUCAACAUCUCAUCAUGUUAACAGAUUCUAUCUAUACCUUCACCCAAUUCUUCUUCCCACCUCAUUCUUUUUAUUUAUAUGAUUGUAACUAAAAAUAUAGAUGUGCUUUAAAAAUACAGAUGCUCGGGGCACCACCCCGUUGCCCCGAGCAUCUGUUAUAUUUUAUUUAUUUAUAGAUAAAUAAAAUCUUUAAAAAAAUACAGAUGCCCUUGUAAAGUAGUAUUAGACAAUUCAUACUUUGGAGGUAUUUUUUUAAAAUGGGUUAGAAUAUGAAAAAAUCGAUGGAUGAACAGAUACAUAAGAUAGAAAAAAAUAUAUAUAUUUCAUGUAUGUAUGUGUGUGUGUGUGUGUGUGUGUAUAAAUUACUCGGUCAUCAAAAAGAAUGAAAUCUUGUCAUUUGCAAUGACAUGGAUGGAACUAGAGUGUAUUAUGCUAAGAAAUGGGUCAGUCAGACAAAGACAAAUACUACAUGAUUUCACUCACAUGUGGAAUUUAAGAAACAAGACAGAUGAACGUAGGAGAAGGAAAGCAAAAAUAAGAAGCAGAGAGGAGCAGUCAGCCGAAAUAGCUCAGUUGGGAGAGCGUUAGACUGAAGAAGCAAAGAGAAUACAAACAAAAAUAAGAUACAAACAAAUAAAAUAAAAUACAAACAAAGAGGGAGGCAAACCAUAAGAGACUCUUACCUCUGGGGAACAAACUGAGGGUUGCUGGGGGAGAGGUGGAUGGAGGGAUGGGGUAACGGGGUGAUGGGCUUUAAGAAGGGCACUUGAUGUAAUGAGCGCUGGGUGUUAUAUGCAACUGGUGAAUUACAGAAUUCUACCCCUGAAGCUAAUAAUACACUAUAUGUUAACUAACUUGAACUUAAAAAUAAAUAAAUAAUAAACAAAUGAAUAAAAUGGGUCAGAAUUUCAUUUGGAAAACAAUGUUCACGACAGCUGCAAUUUUAUUCCUAAUAAAUCUUCAUGAAAGAAAUGUCUGGAAAUAGGAACAGUAACUCCUAAUGAUGUCUGCUUCCUUCCCCUGAAACCUGUCAGUGCUAUUGUACAUGGCAGAUGGGACUUUGCACGUGUGAUUAAGUUUGGGGAUCUUCAGGAGGAUUUUUCCUGGACUAUGCAGGUUGGUCCCAUCUUAAAAUAAGAGUCCUAAAAAAAAAAAGAAAGAAAAAGAACCUUUCCUGACUGUACUGAAAAUGAGGUUUAACAAUGGAAGAAGGAGGGGUGUAUGGAUGGUGCAGUUAGUUGGGGCCUCUGACUCUUGGUUUUGGCUCUGGCCCUCAUCUCAGGGUCAUGAGAUUGAACCCCACGUUGGGCUCUGUGCUCAGCGCAGUCUGCUUGAGAUUGUCUCCCUCUCCCUUGCCUCUCCUGCUUGUGCUCUCUCUCUCUAAAAUAAAUAACUCUUAAAAAACAAUGGAAGAAGGAGAUGAGAGGAAUGCUCUGUUGCUAGUUUUGAAGAUGGAGAAGAGGUCCAAGAGCCAAGAAAUGACGGUGUCCUAGAGAAUCUCCAAGAACAAGAAGACAGAUUCUUCCAUAGGAUCUCCAG
Long non-coding RNA from Mustela lutreola (European mink), 5438 nucleotides. RefSeq lists it as uncharacterized. The transcript has 3 exons. The record is from RefSeq and is a predicted model, not a curated record. NCBI's taxonomy places the organism in Eukaryota, Metazoa, Chordata, Mammalia, Carnivora, Mustelidae.